UUUUAAAGGGCCGCGGUAAUUUGACCGUGCGAAGGUAGCAUAAUAAUUAGCCUUUUAAUUGGAGGCUUGWAUGAAUGGUCGGAUGAGGGAUAAGCUGUCUUUUCUUUAAUUUUAGAAUUUAACUUUUGAGUGAAAAGGCUCAAAUGAUUUAAAGUGACGAUAAGACCCUAUAAAACUUAAUAUAUAAAUAAUUUGUUCAAGAAUUGUUUAUUAAAUUAAUUAAUUGUUUCUAUGUUUCGUUGGGGAGAUGAAGAUAUAAUUUGUAACUGUCUUAAGAAUUUUAUAAUUAUUAUUAGAUAAAUGAUCCUCUAUUAGGGAUUUAAAGAUUAAGUUACUUUAGGGAUAACAGCGUAAUUUCCUUUGAGAGUUCUUAUCGACAAGGGUAGUUGCGACCUCGAUGUUGAAUUAAAAUUUCAGGUUGGUGUAGCCGCUAUCCUGGUA
RNAcentral lists this ribosomal RNA (441 nucleotides) under Paraclimenaeus spinicauda. RNAcentral describes it as "partial 16S ribosomal RNA". It matches the Rfam family "Bacterial large subunit ribosomal RNA", at positions 1921 to 2573 of the family's 2925-position model. Lineage: Eukaryota; Metazoa; Arthropoda; Malacostraca; Decapoda; Palaemonidae. The record is from RNAcentral.